Molecule: long non-coding RNA, 576 nt
Filed under: Marmota monax (woodchuck)
Lineage: Eukaryota; Metazoa; Chordata; Mammalia; Rodentia; Sciuridae
Source: RNAcentral
AUUCAAAAUGCUGAGGAAUAAAAAGAUGCAGUCUUUUGAAUUCUACGACUGUGUUGGAGCUCAGAAAACAAAGUAUGGCACUUUAGCUUGUGAAGUACUUUGAACUAAAAGGUAUUGGAAAACCUCAAAAGCAAAGUUUCUUUCAGACCCUUUUCUGCCCUCUUCCUUCUGCUGCUUUUUAAACCCCACACAGUCCAUAGAAACCAGAAUUUGUCUUCCCCAAGGUGGGUCAUAGAAACUAGGAGCCCUCUUUCCCAAAGCCAGCCAUAAAACCUACAAAUAUUACUCUAACCUCUUCUGACACCUUUCUGUUUAGGAGCUGACCAUGAAGAAAUUCUUCAACCUGCACACAGAGAGGCUAAGAAGAAUCUGACCAGACAAGAGUUGCUGGGUUUCCACCAUUCAGUGUGUUACAAUACAUCAUAACUUUUUGUUCAAUCACAAUUCUAUGGCUGUCCAUUCCUCCUCAUCAAACUUUUGCAUAAAAACCAUUCUCCCUGGAUUUUCAGGGAAGGCUCCUGUGUAAUGUAAAACUUUGAUUAAAUACAUCUGUUAUGCUUUUCUCUCGUUAAUCUA